AAAUUUACAGAAAGCCUUGGUCAAGCAGAACAAGCACCAUAGCGCAACUCUAGCUCAGUGACCAUCAAUCCAGCCACUUCUGUCCUCUUUAGACUAGAGAGGCCUCAGUUUUGCCCGUUCAGCAAGGCUUCCAUGGCUCAAAAUAAAAUGAAGCUCUGCCUAAACAGUUUGUCUUCUUUUCAUUUAUUCUGGCCAGAACUACCAAUUUUGUACUAUGAAAAAUUGUGAAGUUCUCACCAGUCUUAGUCAAGAAAAGAACUUAGUUAAG
Molecule: long non-coding RNA, 268 nt
Filed under: Prunus persica (peach)
Lineage: Eukaryota; Viridiplantae; Streptophyta; Magnoliopsida; Rosales; Rosaceae
Description: long non-coding RNA (PPER_LNC006140)
Source: RNAcentral